Molecule: ribosomal RNA, 840 nt
Filed under: Arthrobacter sp. HPCKc-40
Lineage: Bacteria; Bacillati; Actinomycetota; Actinomycetes; Micrococcales; Micrococcaceae
Description: bacterial SSU rRNA
Rfam family: Bacterial small subunit ribosomal RNA
Source: RNAcentral
GCGGGGUGCUUAACACAUGCAAGUCGAACGAUGAUCCGGUGCUUGCACCGGGGAUUAGUGGCGAACGGGUGAGUAACACGUGAGUAACCUGCCCUUGACUCUGGGAUAAGCCUGGGAAACUGGGUCUAAUACCGGAUAUGACUCCUCAUCGCAUGGUGGGGGGUGGAAAGCUUUUGCGGUUUUGGAUGGACUCGCGGCCUAUCAGCUUGUUGGUGAGGUAAUGGCUUACCAAGGCGACGACGGGUAGCCGGCCUGAGAGGGUGACCGGCCACACUGGGACUGAGACACGGCCCAGACUCCUACGGGAGGCAGCAGUGGGGAAUAUUGCACAAUGGGCGCAAGCCUGAUGCAGCGACGCCGCGUGAGGGAUGACGGCCUUCGGGUUGUAAACCUCUUUCAGUAGGGAAGAAGCGAAAGUGACGGUACCUGCAGAAGAAGCGCCGGCUAACUACGUGCCAGCAGCCGCGGUAAUACGUAGGGCGCAAGCGUUAUCCGGAAUUAUUGGGCGUAAAGAGCUCGUAGGCGGUUUGUCGCGUCUGCCGUGAAAGUCCGGGGCUCAACUCCGGAUCUGCGGUGGGUACGGGCAGACUAGAGUGAUGUAGGGGAGACUGGAAUUCCUGGUGUAGCGGUGAAAUGCGCAGAUAUCAGGAGGAACACCGAUGGCGAAGGCAGGUCUCUGGGCAUUAACUGACGCUGAGGAGCGAAAGCAUGGGGAGCGAACAGGAUUAGAUACCCUGGUAGUCCAUGCCGUAAACGUUGGGCACUAGGUGUGGGGGGACAUUCCACGUUUUCCGCGCCGUACUAACGCAUUAAGUGCCCCCGCCUGGGGGAGUACGGGCC